GUUAGCGGCGGACGGGUGAGUAACACGUGGAUAACCUACCUAUAAGACUGGGAUAACUUCGGGAAACCGGAGCUAAUACCGGAUAAUAUAUUGAACCGCAUGGUUCAAUAGUGAAAGAUGGUCUUGCUAUCACUUAUAGAUGGAUCCGCGCUGCAUUAGCUAGUUGGUAAGGUAACGGCUUACCAAGGCAACGAUGCAUAGCCGACCUGAGAGGGUGAUCGGCCACACUGGAACUGAGACACGGUCCAGACUCCUACGGGAGGCAGCAGUAGGGAAUCUUCCGCAAUGGGCGAAAGCCUGACGGAGCAACGCCGCGUGAGUGAUGAAGGUCUUCGGAUCGUAAAACUCUGUUAUUAGGGAAGAACAUAUGUGUAAGUAACUGUGCACAUCUUGACGGUACCUAAUCAGAAAGCCACGGCUAACUACGUGCCAGCAGCCGCGGUAAUACGUAGGUGGCAAGCGUUAUCCGGAAUUAUUGGGCGUAAAGCGCGCGUAGGCGGUUUUUUAAGUCUGAUGUGAAAGCCCACGGCUCAACCGUGGAGGGUCAUUGGAAACUGGAAAACUUGAGUGCAGAAGAGGAAAGUGGAAUUCCAUGUGUAGCGGUGAAAUGCGCAGAGAUAUGGAGGAACACCAGUGGCGAAGGCGACUUUCUGGUCUGUAACUGACGCUGAUGUGCGAAAGCGUGGGGAUCAAACAGGAUUAGAUACCCUGGUAGUCCACGCCGUAAACGAUGAGUGCUAAGUGUUAGGGGGUUUCCGCCCCUUAGUGCUGCAGCUAACGCAUUAAGCACUCCGCCUGGGGAGUACGACCGCAAGGUUGAAACUCAAAGGAAUUGACGGGGACCCGCACAAGCGGUGGAGCAUGUGGUUUAAUUCGAAGCAACGCGAAGAACCUUACCAAAUCUUGACAUCCUUUGACAACUCUAGAGAUAGAGCCUUCCCCUUCGGGGGACAAAGUGACAGGUGGUGCAUGGUUGUCGUCAGCUCGUGUCGUGAGAUGUUGGGUUAAGUCCCGCAACGAGCGCAACCCUUAAGCUUAGUUGCCAUCAUUAAGUUGGGCACUCUAAGUUGACUGCCGGUGACAAACCGGAGGAAGGUGGGGAUGACGUCAAAUCAUCAUGCCCCUUAUGAUUUGGGCUACACACGUGCUACAAUGGACAAUACAAAGGG
Molecule: non-coding RNA, 1169 nt
Filed under: Staphylococcus simiae CCM 7213 = CCUG 51256
Lineage: Bacteria; Bacillati; Bacillota; Bacilli; Caryophanales; Staphylococcaceae
Description: bacterial SSU rRNA
Rfam family: Bacterial small subunit ribosomal RNA
Source: RNAcentral